GGGGUUUUAGUUUAAUAAAAGAUAUCUAUUUUGCAUGUAGGAGAUUUAACUCUA
This 54-nucleotide transfer RNA is filed under the name Camallanus lacustris. RNAcentral's name for it is "tRNA-Ala". The record is from RNAcentral. Lineage: Eukaryota; Metazoa; Nematoda; Chromadorea; Rhabditida; Camallanidae.